This 235-nucleotide ribosomal RNA is filed under the name uncultured bacterium. Its description in RNAcentral is "partial 16S ribosomal RNA". It matches the Rfam family "Bacterial small subunit ribosomal RNA", at positions 96 to 334 of the family's 1533-position model. The record is from RNAcentral.
CGGCGGACGGGUGAGUAACGCGUGGGUAACCUGCCUCAUCAGGGGGAUAACAGUUGGAAACGGCUGCUAAUACCGCAUAAGCGCACAGUACCGCAUGGUACGGUGUGAAAAACUCCGGUGGUAUGAGAUGGACCCGCGUCUGAUUAGGUAGUUGGUGGGGUAACGGCCUACCAAGCCGACGAUCAGUAGCCGACCUGAGAGGGUGCCGGCACAUUGGGACUGAGACACGGCCCAA